This 263-nucleotide unclassified non-coding RNA is filed under the name Archaeorhizomycetes sp. RNAcentral describes it as "partial contains 5.8S ribosomal RNA, internal transcribed spacer 2, and large subunit ribosomal RNA". The stretch from base 1 to 67 matches the Rfam family "5.8S ribosomal RNA", at positions 84 to 154 of the family's 154-position model. The record is from RNAcentral. Lineage: Eukaryota; Fungi; Ascomycota; Archaeorhizomycetes.
GUGAGUCAUCGAAUCUUUGAACGCACAUUGCGCCUCUCGUGAGGGAGGCAUGCCUGUCUGAGCGUCGUUUAAAUCUCUAGGCUCCAUCUGAUGGUGCCUGUCUUGGGCCUCGCCCUGUGUGGCGUUGUCUGAAUGUCAUUGGUCUAACCUGUGGACGAGUCCCGGUAGGGCGGACCACAGGGGGGGACCCUAAGCCUCUCUGAACCCGACCUCAGAUCAGGUAGGAACACCGCCUGAACUUAAGCAUAUCAAUAAGCGGAGGA